ACCCCGGUGGCUGUGGGGGUCAUGUUUCUUAGGUUAGGUUAGGUUAGGUUAGGUUAGGUUAGGUUAGGUUAGGUUAGGUUAGGUUAGGUUAGGUUAGGUUAGGUUAGGUUAGGUUGGGUUAGGUUAGGUUAAAGGCCCCUCUAAGUUAAAUUAUGAGAAAGAAUCAUCACUCACGCAAACCAUUUCAUAAUAUAUAUCAACGCAUGUGUGAUCUGUUUAUGCAUCAUCUAUUUUGGGAGGUUUAUAUCAUGGCAGAAAUUUGGGCCGUCGCUGCUACACGGUAAAGCCACAAAUUUGGCCCGUCGCUGCUACACGGUAAAGCCACAAAUUUGGCCCGUCGCUGCUCCCGGAGACAAAAAAGAAACUAAACAAAAAGCGAAAGUAAUUACAAGUUCUCCACGGAGCUUGCCAAGAGGAUGAGAGGAAGAAAAAUAAACAGUGCAGAAGAGGAAAUAAAGAGAAGAAACGAAAGAGUACGUAAUAGGAAAGAAAAUAAUGAGGGAAAGGAGAAUAAGAAAGAGAGACAAAAUAAACAUGAAGAAAUGGAAGAAAAAUGGGAAGAAUAAUAAAAAGACAGGAAUAAAGAAGGAACAGGAAAAAAUAAUUAAAAAAUUGAUAAGAUGAAAAAAAAAGUAAUGAAGGAUAAAUAAAGAGGGGAAGAAAAUAAGGAUGAAAAGAGUGAUAGGAAAGGAGACAAGAAGGAAAAUUUUGGAGUAACAGGAAAACAGAUGUAGAGAGAUAAAAGGAAAAUGGAAGAAUGUAAAUGAAAAUGAAAAUGAAAAGUUAUUGAAAAGAAAAUGAGGAAGAAGAGAGUAAUAGGGAAGGAAUGAAGUAAAAAGGAGUAUAGGAAGAUGGCGCCACUAUAAACACUUGCCUGCGCCAUGACGAGCUGGGGCCGACUACAAUCCAGGCCCCUCAAGAGACCCUACCGGCGCUAUAUGUGUUCACGUAAUAAAGAAAAAAAAUAUAGAGAGAUUAGAGUAAAUAAAAAAUGAAAAUGAAAAGAGGUUAUUUAGAGGAGAAAACAAAGGAGGAAAGAAAAGGGAAAUAAGGAAGGAUUUAAGAAGAAAAAAAUAAAGGAAAACAAAAACAAAGAUGAUAACAGAACGACAAUAAAGCGAAAGAAAGUAAAGUUGAAGGAAAAUUAAAGGAAAUAACAAAGAAGAAAAUAAGGAAGAGAAGUAACAGGGAAGGAAAGAAGGAAGGAAUGUAGCGAAGGAGGAAGAAAAAAAGAAGUUACAGGAA
Long non-coding RNA from Eriocheir sinensis (Chinese mitten crab), 1245 nucleotides. RefSeq lists it as uncharacterized. The record is from RefSeq and is a predicted model, not a curated record. The transcript is spliced from 2 exons. Lineage: Eukaryota; Metazoa; Arthropoda; Malacostraca; Decapoda; Varunidae.